RNAcentral lists this transfer RNA (77 nucleotides) under Candidatus Kaiserbacteria bacterium RIFCSPHIGHO2_01_FULL_49_13. Its description in RNAcentral is "tRNA-Ile". It matches the Rfam family "tRNA". From Rfam's summary of the family: Transfer RNA (tRNA) molecules are approximately 80 nucleotides in length. Their secondary structure includes four short double-helical elements and three loops (D, anti-codon, and T loops). The record is from RNAcentral. Lineage: Bacteria; Candidatus Kaiseribacteriota.
GGGCGCGUAGCUCAAUUGGUUAGAGCACCGAGCUUAUACCUCGGCGGUUCUAGGUUCGAGUCCUAGCGCGCCCACUA